This 21-nucleotide microRNA is filed under the name Picea abies (Norway spruce). RNAcentral's name for it is "pab-miR11483". Lineage: Eukaryota; Viridiplantae; Streptophyta; Pinopsida; Pinales; Pinaceae. The record is from miRBase by way of RNAcentral.
UAACCUGAUCGACUUGCCAUA